RNAcentral lists this ribosomal RNA (232 nucleotides) under uncultured bacterium. RNAcentral's name for it is "partial 16S ribosomal RNA". It matches the Rfam family "Bacterial small subunit ribosomal RNA", at positions 9 to 229 of the family's 1533-position model. The record is from RNAcentral.
CAGGUUUGAUCAUGGCUCAGGACGAACGCUGGCGGCAUGCCUAACACAUGCAAGUCGAACGGAGAUUACUUCGGUAAUCUUAGUGGCGAACGGGUGAGUAACGCGUGGGCAACCUGCCCUCUAGAUGGGGACAACAUCCCGAAAGGGGUGCUAAUACCGAAUGUGACAGCAAUCUCGCAUGAGGAUGCUGUGAAAGAUGGCCUCUAUUUAUAAGCUAUCGCUAGAGGAUGGG